This 458-nucleotide ribosomal RNA is filed under the name uncultured bacterium. RNAcentral describes it as "bacterial SSU rRNA". It matches the Rfam family "Bacterial small subunit ribosomal RNA", at positions 29 to 507 of the family's 1533-position model. The record is from RNAcentral.
AACGAACGCUGGCGGCAUGCCUAACACAUGCAAGUCGAACGAAGCCUUCGGGCUUAGUGGCGCACGGGUGCGUAACACGUGGGAAUCUGCCCUUCGGUUCGGAAUAACAGUUAGAAAUGACUGCUAAUACCGGAUGAUGACGUAAGUCCAAAGAUUUAUCGCCGAAGGAUGAGCCCGCGUAGGAUUAGGUAGUUGGUAGGGUAAUGGCCUACCAAGCCGACGAUCCUUAGCUGGUCUGAGAGGAUGAUCAGCCACACUGGGACUGAGACACGGCCCAGACUCCUACGGGAGGCAGCAGUGGGGAAUAUUGGACAAUGGGCGCAAGCCUGAUCCAGCCAUGCCGCGUGAGUGAAGAAGGCCUUCGGGUUGUAAAGCUCUUUCAGCCGGAAAGAAAACGCACGGGUUAAUAACCUGUGUGGAUGACGGUACCGGAAGAAGAAGCACCGGCUAACUACGUG